GACAAGACAAGACUGGACCAAUGAGGAGAGAGAAGACACAGAGGACUGAGGAGACGCUGGAAAUCCUGCUGGAAAUCCAGAGAAGAUGUUUCCUGAUGCAUCAGGGGGACAACUGAGGACGGGACACAGCAUAAAGAGACAGAGAUCAUGUGAAAUUCAAGGAUGGCCUUUCAACCCUGGAUGUCAUUUAUGCUUCGGAGCUUCAUUCUUCUGUGUUCAGGCCCUUUAUGUGCACAAGGGUGGAAAAGCUGACAUCAGAAAUGUUAGAGGAAAUCUGUGAAGUUCAGCUCAGCGAAAAGGACAGCACCAGACGACAAGAAGAAACCAGACUGCUAGGAUUCUCCUUGAGACAGACCAAACCUCGCUUUCCUGUUCAAACACUGUCAAGAUACCAAAGCCCAAAACAAAUGAUCAAUUCCAAAAAACAUGGACUUUGGGAUAAAAACUCUUUGGACUUUAUUAAGUUCAAAUACAGAAUCACAAAACAUAAAUGUGGAUGUUGGCCUGUGAAGGCAGAUGUUAACUUGUGAAACCUGCUCUGUUCAACUGUCACUACCAACUGUUAUGACUAUUGUUGAAAACUGUUGUAAUGCUUCAUUGUAUUUACAUGUAAAUAUUAGAAAUGAACAUUUUUAUGUCAUCAAAAAUUGUUGCAAUAAAAAGUGACAUACUAUUAA
Xiphophorus couchianus (Monterrey platyfish) is the source of this 677-nucleotide long non-coding RNA. RefSeq lists it as uncharacterized. The record is from RefSeq and is a predicted model, not a curated record. The transcript is spliced from 2 exons. Lineage: Eukaryota; Metazoa; Chordata; Actinopteri; Cyprinodontiformes; Poeciliidae.